ACUCACGGGUAGAUCUCCCACCCUUGUGUAUUCAUACCUUUGUUGCUUUGGCAGGCCGCUGGGCUUCGGCCUGGCCACUGGCUCCCGGGCUGGUGCGCGCCUGCCAGGGGACCUCUAAACUCUGUUUGUCUGUGUCGUCUGAGUAUUAUACAAUCGUUAAAACUUUCAACAACGGAUCUCUUGGUUCUGGCAUCGAUGAAGAACGCAGCGAAAUGCGAUAAGUAAUGUGAAUUGCAGAAUUCAGUGAAUCAUCGAAUCUUUGAACGCACAUUGCGCCCCUUGGUAUUCCGAGGGGCAUGCCUGUUCGAGCGUCAUUUCAACCCUCAAGCUCUGCUUGGUAUUGGGCUACGCCAUCGCGGCAGGCCUUAAAAUUAGUGGCGGUGCCGUCUCGGCUCUAAGCGUAGUAACAAUCUCUCGCUCUGGAGACCUGGCGGUGCUUGCCAGACAACCACCAAUUUUUUUAUGGUUGACCUCGG
RNAcentral lists this ribosomal RNA (476 nucleotides) under Scytalidium lignicola. RNAcentral describes it as "eukaryotic LSU rRNA". The stretch from base 161 to 314 matches the Rfam family "5.8S ribosomal RNA". Lineage: Eukaryota; Fungi; Ascomycota; Leotiomycetes. The record is from RNAcentral.